GGGGAUGUAGCUCAGCUGGGAGAGCGUCGCGUUCGCAAUGCGAAGGUCGGGAGUUCGAUCCUCCUCGUCUCCACCA
RNAcentral lists this transfer RNA (76 nucleotides) under Rivihabitans pingtungensis. RNAcentral describes it as "tRNA-Ala". It matches the Rfam family "tRNA". Rfam says of the family: Transfer RNA (tRNA) molecules are approximately 80 nucleotides in length. Their secondary structure includes four short double-helical elements and three loops (D, anti-codon, and T loops). Lineage: Bacteria; Pseudomonadati; Pseudomonadota; Betaproteobacteria; Neisseriales; Aquaspirillaceae. RNAcentral also lists the same sequence under 2 other names. The record is from RNAcentral.